GUUGACCUGGAUUCAAGGAUUAUACGCUUUGGGUAUCUCAAUUCAGUCUCGUCUCUUGUCGAAUCCAAUUCAACAGCCGGGUUUCUCGUGUCAAGCUCGUUCGAGCGGCGUGUGGAAGCACUUGAUCGAAGCAGCAAUAGCACAUGUUACCCUCCACCUCUGUCACCAGUUUGGUGAAUAUGGCUGUUAUUAAGCUAGCAACUCUUUUGAGUGAGAACAUGAGAGAGUUGUCUCAUAUGUGGGCACCUCCAAUAUAUAGAAGAUUGCUUAGCUCUGAUAAGAGAGACAGUGAUAUGUCAGAAAGGUGUCUACUGAAGAUUAGAUCCACAAUCAUACCUUCUCCAAUAGAUCUCUCCAAGGUACUUGUCAGAGAUUUAAAGACAAAGUUGCUCACUGGGAUGCAUGAUAUGCUAUCAAUGGUAUGAAGAUUCAAACUAUUCAAGCAUGGGGAUGGUAUAUCCGCUUACUAGGGUCUCAUGCCUUGAAGAACAGACAUUUAAUUAAUGAUAUGCUGAAAAUUCCCAAGAAAACAUUUUCAGAUAAUGACUCACAAGUUCAGAUUGCUUCCCAGGUUGCCUGUGAAGGUCUUAGUAAUGCUCUUAUUCACCCUCUAAUGUUAUUACCGUGUGCGACAAAUGCUGCAGACGAGGAUGAUGGUACGCAAAAAAAGGGAACACAAAGGAAAUAGUGAUGAAAUCCAAAACACUAGAUCUUUGAAAAGCGUAAGGCUGAUCAUGACACCACUGAUAGGCAUCAUGUUGAGUAACUGCGAUGUAUCUGUCCGCAUGUCUUGCUUGAACACAUGGUGUUAUCUAUUACCUAGACUUGAUACCUCUCUGAAUGAUUCUUCAAUGAUUAACCGGGUAGUAGACCCUAUGUUUGAAGCAGCUUUUCAACUUGAUCCUAAUGGUAAGAGCUUCUGGGCUACGGAUCUGUGUGUCAAUUUGCUUGAUGAUUUUA
Rosa chinensis is the source of this 960-nucleotide long non-coding RNA. RefSeq lists it as uncharacterized. The transcript is spliced from 4 exons. NCBI's taxonomy places the organism in Eukaryota, Viridiplantae, Streptophyta, Magnoliopsida, Rosales, Rosaceae. The record is from RefSeq and is a predicted model, not a curated record.